RNAcentral lists this ribosomal RNA (482 nucleotides) under uncultured bacterium. RNAcentral's name for it is "partial 16S ribosomal RNA". It matches the Rfam family "Bacterial small subunit ribosomal RNA", at positions 28 to 523 of the family's 1533-position model. The record is from RNAcentral.
GACGAACGCUGGCGGCGUGCUUAACACAUGCAAGUCGAACGACGAAGCCCAGGUUGCUGGGUGGAUUAGUGGCGAACGGGUGAGUAACACGUGGGCAACCUGCCCCAAACUCUGGGAUAACUCCUCGAAAGAGGUGCUAAUACCGGAUACGAACUAGACAGACAUCUGUACUAGUUGGAAAGUUUUUCGGUUUGGGAUGGGCCCGCGGCCUAUCAGCUUGUUGGUGAGGUAACGGCUCACCAAGGCUACGACGGGUAACCGGCCUGAGAGGGCGACCGGUCACACUGGGACUGAGACACGGCCCAGACUCCUACGGGAGGCAGCAGUGGGGAAUAUUGCGCAUUGGGCGAAAGCCUGACGCAGCGACGCCGCGUGAGGGAUGAAGGUCUUCGGAUCGUAAACCUCUUUCAGUAGGGACGAAGCGAAAGUGACGGUACCUAAAGAAGAAGCACCGGCUAACUACGUGCCAGCCGCCGCGGUAA